AUGAAGGCCGAGGAAACGUUCAAGCGUCUCCGCGUGGCGAUCAAGUGCAGGAACGUUGAGGGCGAGUACGAGAGCAAGGCGGUGGGCGGCCUCGACCGCACCGGCGCCUUCAGCGUGCCCCUGGCCACCGACCUCCACGGCGCCGACUGCGUCGCGCAGCUUCACAGCGCCGCCUCCAACGCGCCGUGCCCCGGCCAGGAGCCGUCCAAGAUCGUGCCACUGUCCGAGGGCGCCACCACCUUCGGCGUCGUCGCCGGCGCGGUGACCCUGUGCGGGCCGAUCAAGAAGCACAUCAUCGAGCACUUCCACCACAAGAAGCCCGUGCAACCGAAGCCAGAGCCCUAA
This 345-nucleotide ribosomal RNA is filed under the name Triticum aestivum (bread wheat). Its description in RNAcentral is "partial small subunit ribosomal RNA". Lineage: Eukaryota; Viridiplantae; Streptophyta; Magnoliopsida; Poales; Poaceae. The record is from RNAcentral.